GACGAACGCUGGCGGCGUGCUUAACACAUGCAAGUCGAACGGAAAGGCCCUGCUUUUGUGGGGUGCUCGAGUGGCGAACGGGUGAGUAACACGUGAGUAACCUGCCCUUGACUUUGGGAUAACUUCAGGAAACUGGGGCUAAUACCGGAUAGGAGCUCCUGCUGCAUGGUGGGGGUUGGAAAGUUUCGGCGGUUGGGGAUGGACUCGCGGCUUAUCAGCUUGUUGGUGGGGUAGUGGCUUACCAAGGCUUUGACGGGUAGCCGGCCUGAGAGGGUGACCGGCCACAUUGGGCCUGAGACGCGGCCCGGACCCUAGCGGGGGGCAGAGGUGGGAAAUUUGCCACGUGGGGCGGAGGCCUGCGCCCCCACCCCCGGGUGCGGGAGGGCGGCCUUCGGGUUAUAACCCCCUUUCGCGGGGGACGAGGGGGGAGUGCGGGUAAUGGAUAAAAAAGCCCCGGCUAACUACGUC
RNAcentral lists this ribosomal RNA (468 nucleotides) under uncultured bacterium. RNAcentral describes it as "partial 16S ribosomal RNA". It matches the Rfam family "Bacterial small subunit ribosomal RNA", at positions 28 to 507 of the family's 1533-position model. The record is from RNAcentral.